GACACCGAAUGAAGACCACACGCCUCUUGUGCCAACAGAAGCCUCACAUAAAUGUGAAAAAAUAUUUUUCAAUCGAAUCUUUCAAAAGGUAGAGAAUAAAUAAUAUAACAUAACAUACUAAGAUUCAAAAUGAGUGUAUUUAUAUAAUAAAAAUAUUUAAAUAAAAUAAUCACAGAAACAACAAUUCAUUUUUAACAAAUAGAUGUAAGUUAGUCCAGUUUUGGGUUUUUAUUUAUUUUUAUUUAUUUAUUUUUAUUAUUAUGCUUGUUAGAGAAUGUGUUCAUUGUAUACUCUGAGAGAUUUUGAAAUAGCUCUAACUUAA
Molecule: long non-coding RNA, 322 nt
Filed under: Physcomitrium patens
Lineage: Eukaryota; Viridiplantae; Streptophyta; Bryopsida; Funariales; Funariaceae
Description: long non-coding RNA (PPAT_LNC002258)
Source: RNAcentral